GGAUCAUUACAAGAACGCCCGGGCUUCGGCCUGGUUAUUCAUAACCCUUUGUUGUCCGACUCUGUUGCCUCCGGGGCGACCCUGCCUUCGGGCGGGGGCUCCGGGUGGACACUUCAAACUCUUGCGUAACUUUGCAGUCUGAGUAAACUUAAUUAAUAAAUUAAAACUUUUAACAACGGAUCUCUUGGUUCUGGCAUCGAUGAAGAACGCAGCGAAAUGCGAUAAGUAAUGUGAAUUGCAGAAUUCAGUGAAUCAUCGAAUCUUUGAACGCACAUUGCGCCCCCUGGUAUUCCGGGGGGCAUGCCUGUUCGAGCGUCAUUUCACCACUCAAGCCUCGCUUGGUAUUGGGCAACGCGGUCCGCCGCGUGCCUCAAAUCGUCCGGCUGGGUCUUCUGUCCCCUAAGCGUUGUGGAAACUAUUCGCUAAAGGGUGUUCGGGAGGCUACGCCGUAAAACAACCCCAUUUCUAAGGUUGACCUCGGAUCAGGUAGGGAUACCCGCUGAACUUAAGCAUAUCAAUAAGCGGAGGAAAAGAAACCAACAGGGAUUGCUCUAGUAACGGCGAGUGAAGCAGCAAUAGCUCAAAUUUGAAAUCUGGCGUCUUCGACGUCCGAGUUGUAAUUUGUAGAGGAUGCUUCUGAGUGGCCACCGACCUAAGUUCCUUGGAACAGGACGUCAUAGAGGGUGAGAAUCCCGUAUGCGGUCGGAAAGGCGCUCUAUACGUAGCUCCUUCGACGAGUCGAGUUGUUUGGGAAUGCAGCUCUAAAUGGGAGGUAAAUUUCUUCUAAAGCUAAAUAUUGGCCAGAGACCGAUAGCGCACAAGUAGAGUGAUCGAAAGAUGAAAAGCACUUUGGAAAGAGAGUUAAAAAGCACGUGAAAUUGUUAAAAGGGAAGGGAUUGCAACCAGACUAGCUCGCGGUGUUCCGCCGGUCUUCUGACCGGUCUACUCGCCGCGUUGCAGGCCAGCAUCGUCUGGUGCCGCUGGAUAAGACUUGAGGAAUGUAGCUCCCUCGGGAGUGUUAUAGCCUCUUGUGAUGCAGCGAGCGCCGGGCGAG
Molecule: ribosomal RNA, 1054 nt
Filed under: uncultured fungus
Lineage: Eukaryota; Fungi
Description: eukaryotic LSU rRNA
Rfam family: Eukaryotic large subunit ribosomal RNA (bases 473-1054)
Source: RNAcentral